GCUGGUGGUGUCCUGCAGCCGAUGUGGGGAAUUUUCCUUUUUCAUGUUUCCCUGCUGGUGGGAGGUGCUGCAGGACAAASUGUCGAGCAGCCCACUGAGYUGAACGCUGUGGAAGGAGCCUUCAUCCAGGUCAACUGCACGUACCAGACAUCUGGGUUCAACGGGCUGUCCUGGUACCAGCAACGUGAGGGCGGAGCACCCAUGUUUCUCUCUUACAAUGUUCUGGAUGGUGUGGAGAGGAGAGGCCGUUUUUCUACAUUCCUGAGUCGGUCUGAUGGGCACAGUUACCUUCUCCUGAGUGAGCUCCAGGUGCAGGACUCUGCCUCUUAUGUGUGUGCUGUGAGAGACACAAUGGUUAUGUGGCCUCUGAGGCUGCACCAAAAUCCAGGGGCCACAUCAGUGAGAAAUUGUAUUUCCUGUGUAUGUCUGCUGUGA
Urocitellus parryii (Arctic ground squirrel) is the source of this 435-nucleotide non-coding RNA. NCBI's taxonomy places the organism in Eukaryota, Metazoa, Chordata, Mammalia, Rodentia, Sciuridae. The record is from the annotation of a RefSeq genome assembly.